This 492-nucleotide ribosomal RNA is filed under the name uncultured bacterium. Its description in RNAcentral is "partial 16S ribosomal RNA". It matches the Rfam family "Bacterial small subunit ribosomal RNA", at positions 29 to 507 of the family's 1533-position model. The record is from RNAcentral.
AGUGAACGCUGGCGGUAGGCCUAACACAUGCAAGUCGAACGGCAGCACAGUAAGAGCUUGCUCUUACGGGUGGCGAGUGGCGGACGGGUGAGGAAUACAUCGGAAUCUACUUUUUCGUGGGGGAUAACGUAGGGAAACUUACGCUAAUACCGCGUACGACCUACGGGUGAAAGCAGGGGAUCUUCGGACCUUGCGCGAUUGAAUGAGCCGAUGUCGGAUUAGCUAGUUGGUGGGGUAAAGGCCCACCAAGGCGACGAUCCGUAGCUGGUCUGAGAGGAUGAUCAGCCACACUGGAACUGAGACACGGUCCAGACUCCUACGGGAGGCAGCAGUGGGGAAUAUUGGACAAUGGGCGCAAGCCUGAUCCAGCCAUACCGCGUGGGUGAAGAAGGCCUUCGGGUUGUAAAGCCCUUUUGUUGGGAAAGAAAAGCAGCAGGUUAAUACCCCGCUGUUCUGACGGUACCCAAAGAAUAAGCACCGGCUAACUUCGUG